UACCACAUCCUCACCCUCAGUGAAAGCUCAGUAGGUGGAGACAGCACAGCACCAGAGCCUCUCCUCAGCAGCAUAAUCCGUCACACACCUCAGGCACUCCCACUGGCCCACUGGUCUCUUCAUCUGACAUCAUUGCUGCAAGAAAACAAGAUUUAAGAACCAUUAUCUGAAGGAUAAAAAGGAAGAAAGAAAAAAAAAAAAAGUAGCAACUGCAGCACUUCUACAAGGUUUCCCAGUUCCACAAAAGAGAACAAUGCAGGUGUAGAAGAGAAGAAUCUGCCAGGACUACCAGCACAGCUCUGGAGGAUGAAGAUUUUCAUGUGGCUUGCAAGUUUCUUACUGGGACGGACACCACUGUCUUUAAGAGAAGGGUUGCAAAGGUUCUAUUUGGGCGGUUUACUGAAGGAAGCUGAAAGUCUUACACAACUCUGGCUCCAUUAACUGGGAUUUUCAGAUGUUUAUUUAUAACCAAUUAUAAAACCGACUCCGGCCAACAACUGAGUAGCGGGUGGCCG
RNAcentral lists this long non-coding RNA (515 nucleotides) under Meleagris gallopavo (turkey). RNAcentral describes it as "lncRNA (ENSMGAG00000020974.1)". The record is from RNAcentral. Lineage: Eukaryota; Metazoa; Chordata; Aves; Galliformes; Phasianidae.